Molecule: ribosomal RNA, 253 nt
Filed under: uncultured bacterium
Lineage: Bacteria
Description: partial 16S ribosomal RNA
Rfam family: Bacterial small subunit ribosomal RNA
Source: RNAcentral
UACAGAGGUCCCAAGCGUUGUUCGGAUUCAUUGGGCGUAAAGGGUGCGUAGGUGGCGCUGUAAGUCGGGUGUGAAAUUUCGGAGCUUAACUCCGAAACUGCAUUCGAUACUGCGGUGCUUGAGGACUGGAGAGGAGACUGGAAUUCAUGGUGUAGCAGUGAAAUGCGUAGAGAUCAUGAGGAAGACCAGUGGCGAAGGCGGGUCUCUGGACAGUUCCUGACACUGAGGCACGAAGGCCAGGGGAGCAAACAGG